This 1103-nucleotide long non-coding RNA is filed under the name Struthio camelus australis. RNAcentral's name for it is "lncRNA (ENSSCUG00000015482.1)". The record is from RNAcentral. Lineage: Eukaryota; Metazoa; Chordata; Aves; Struthioniformes; Struthionidae.
AUUUACGGAAAUGAGGGGUGAGUUUUAAGAGUCGCAGUAUUGUGAGUUUUACAGGAAGUACAUUUGCUUUUCUUGAAAUGAUACUUGAAUAUCCUUGCGGCGGGAGUUACCCUUAGCCUAUAAAACAUCAUUUCUGCUAAUGCUUCCUAAAGUAGAACAUGCUUGCCUCUAAAAAUAAGUCAUGAUGCUAUCAGCAGCCCAGAUUACUUUUUUUUGGCAGAGGUCGCCUGACACAUCCAAAAAUGAAUGAAAGAGGAGAUGACCAACUGGCUAAAGCAGCUGGUUUAGCCCCCCCACCCCACCCCCGAAGCCACCCCAAGUGGUGACAGCGCGGCCGGGGUGGCAUUGCCUGGGGCGGCAUCACCCAGGGGUGGCAUCUCCUUGGGUGGCAUCACCCAGGGGUGUCAUCCUCCACCACAGGGAGUGCUGGGGAAGGAGCCCUUCCCCCGGAGGCAGGGGCAGUGUUUUUAAGCAAGAGAAGCUACUGCUUGAAAAUGGGAAAAAGAGGAUUCUUGUCUCUGGGACCUUCUGCCCACAGGGUAAGUGGGUGCUGACCCUUUGAAAGGUGACAAGCCUGUGUUAUAGGUUGCGACUGGAUUAUGUGAUGAAAACACGAAGCUAGCUUCCUUAAUGUAAAGCAUUCCUGCUAUCUCUGGAAAGUGCUUCCUCAUCAUUUAUGACAAACAUACCCUUAAGCCUCAUUUCAUAUUGCUGUUUGUUCUGUUCCAUUUCCAUCCUUCUCUGCUCCUUGCUGAUUGUGACUGUGGUGGACAGGGGAGGAGAAUGAGCAUAUGUGGAAGGAUUGCUGAAGGGAGACUGGUGGUCCCAGGGUGACUUUGCAGCCCUUUGUUCUGCUUCGUGGGAUUGCUGAAGUGUGUUAGAUAAACAGAAUCUCAUCUUAAUCUAGCAUAGCAAAAGCAAAAUGACAUUAGGAUCUUGAAAAGGACUUGUGUAUUGAACGUUGACUGAGAACCUAUCUAGAGGCCCAAAGGGUACAAUGACAGAAGGGGUAUGCAGAAGUGCUAUAAGAGAAACGGAGAUACUACUGAGAAGUAGGCAUGUUCCAAACAAUGCCGGAAAUCUGAAUUUAAGUCCCUUGAAUA